CCCUUAGAUGUCCUGGGCCGCACGCGCGCUACACUGAACGGAUCAGCGCGUUUUCCCUUCCCGAGAGGGACGGGUAACCUGCUGAACCCCGUUCGUGGUAGGGAUCGGGGCUUGCAAUUAUUCCCCGUGAACCAGGAAUGCCCAGUAAGUGCAAGUCAUAAGCUUGCGUUGAUUACGUCCCUGCCCUUUGUACACACCGCCCGUUGCUACUACCGAUUGAACGUUUUAGUGAGGUACUCGGACUGAGCCUCAGAAGAUUCACGUCUUUUGUGCUGCUCGGGAAGAUUCCCAAACUUGAGCGUUUAGAGGAAGUAAAAGUCGUAACA
This 326-nucleotide ribosomal RNA is filed under the name uncultured eukaryote. RNAcentral describes it as "partial 18S ribosomal RNA". It matches the Rfam family "Eukaryotic small subunit ribosomal RNA", at positions 1470 to 1796 of the family's 1831-position model. The record is from RNAcentral.